CAAAUUAUUGUUCUAUUUGAAGAAGAGAGUUUCCCAUCUCUUACUCGGGUACCUUCUCCAAGUUAUAAGGAACCAGAUGGAAGCCAUUGAAUUGUUAGUCUACCUUCCUCCAUUGGAGUCUGAGGCAUAGAUGGACCGAAAGGGGAAUCAUCUAGCUUUAGAUGGGGGAGGAGAGCACGACUUGUGCUAGAACUUCUUCAAGAAAUUUGACAAAUUUACGCUUCUCAACCUUACUCAUGGCUCUCGCGUCUUGAUGUUUCAAGAGUUUCUCGUGGAGGGUACGUAAGGCUAUCCCCAACUGAAUCUUUGACUGGGGGAGAGAUGAUUCCGUCAGGGAAUUUAAUGUAAAAAUUCGAAAAACAAACAGAUAACAUUAUUAUUAGAGGAAACGUUUCAAAUAAAAUAUUUAAAAUGAUAUAUUUUGUGAAAUAUUAAUUUAGAACGUUCAAUUAUUUUAAAUUAAAUGAAACACAUCUUAAGGUAGAUCAUAUCUCCAGGUUGUAUAUCUCAAUUUACUCCAAAUAAAUAUGUUAGAUUAAUAUCUCAUUUGAAGUUUACCCAAUUAAUAGAUGAGAGGUCGGAGAUCGAACGACAGGAUGAAAUUAGUGGAAUGUUUUAGAGAUUAAUUUUAUACCAUUUAAAUGAAAUAAAAGAGUACUUAUAGUAUUACAAUAUUUGUAAUUAAUUAAUUAAUUCUAAAGGAUUUUUAAUAUAAAAAUUCUAAUUGGAGAAGCGGUCUUCCGCUUCUCUCUCCGGCUCGGACCCGGUUCAUCACCGUUGGGUGAUUUUUGUUUACCGUGGUCUUCCCCCAAUUAAGUUAGGAUUUAGUUCGUCUUCUUCAACAACAACUCUUCUAAUCGUCGUGCUAUCUUCCUGGAUAGUGGAGCAGUCUAUCAGCAUCAUAUCAUCGUCGGCUUCUUCAGAUUCGGCAUUGUCUUCAAUGUUGAUAGGAGGGAAAAGACGCAACACAUCUUCAUGAAAUUCCCAAGACGAGUCCUCCGGUAUCGCUCCAUUCCAAGCGACCAGCCAUUGAUUUCUCUGUCUCGAUCUCACCCUGAAAAAUGGUACGCUUAUUAGAAUAAAUAACUUCUACUGUUUUUUUAGUUGAGUUUAAUAUUCUCAAAUACAAGUUUAUACAAUGAGUUAGCUGUUAGAGGUUAAUUAGUUUUAGAUACUCUUUCUUAUAAAUACUUUUGUAAGACUGCAUUCUUGGUUAAUGAAUUGAGUUCUUUCUUUUGAGAUUAUUGUUGAAUUGAACUUGAAACAAGCACCAAAAUCUUGGUACUCAAGACUGAGUGCAUUCCUAAUAUUAAAUGAAUUCUCUAACAGUCUGGCAGAUACAUUAUUGUUUCAAAAAAAAGAUAAUUUUUUAAUUUGAGUAAUUGUGUAUAUAUAUAGAUGACAUUAUAAUUUCAAGAAACAACAACAUUGAAAUUGAAGUUUUUAUUAAAAAUCUUUGUACUGCAUGAAUUUAGAUGUAGAGACCUAGGACUUUUGAAAUAUUUCUUUAGUAUAGAAAUUAGAUACAAUUUUGAUGGGUCACUUAACAUGACUCAAUCUAGAUAUGCAUUGAAUAUUUUAAGUAAAAACAACAUGCUAAAUUGUAAACUCAUAAGAACAUCAAUAUUGCAAAUUCCAAAUUGUCCAAAGAAAAUGGAGAAUUGUUAUAAGAUAUAGCAGCUUAUAGAGCCUUAGUUGGAUCCUUACAGUACAUACUUGGCACAAACAAGGCCCUGAUUUUAUUUAUGCAAUAAAUCAAGUGACUCAAUUUGUACAAGCUCCUAGAACUACUCACCUAGUAGCGGCCAAGAGAAUACUAAUGUAUAUAAAAUGAAUUUUAGAUCAUGGUCUUCAUUUUACCAAUACCAAAAGAACUGCCAUAAAUUGAUAGGUUUUUGUGAUGCUGAUCGAUUUUGCUGGUGAUCCAGACACCAGAAAAUCAACAACAGGCUAUUGUGUAUAUAUCGGAGGAAAUCUAGUGACAUGGUCAUCAAAGAAAUAGACAAUUAUUUCAAGAUCCAGUGCUAAGGCUCAAUAUAGAGCCUUAGCAAGUCAUACAACUGAAAUUAGAUGGACUCACUUCAUAUGUAAGGACCUUCUAUAUAAUUUACAUCAGAUACCUUUGUUAUAUACAGAUAACAGUUCAGCCAUUUUUAUGGCUAGAAACUGUUAAGUUUUGAUAUGUGUAUGAAAUAUAAUCCAAGUAUGGUUUAAUGAUUAAUCCAGAGUAAAGUAAAAUAGUGUUGAUGCAACGGAUAAUAUUGAUUGUUUAAUUUAUCUAAUGAGUAUGAUCAAGAUGUGUUGCAGGUAGAUAAUGUUUGACAGGGAUGAUAUAUAUAUGAUUUGUCCAAGUAGAUGCGGAGAUAUGUGUAUGCAUGCAAUAGAUAUCAGGUAUGAUAUAUAUAUGAAAUGUAAGCAGAUGAUUUAGCAAUACUGAGAUCGUUUGGAGAGCAAGGAGAUGACGAUGUAGGAGAGUCGAUGACUGAGUGUAGAGCAGAUCGGAGUGAAGCUGAUGAUGACUUUGAUCCACAGAUGAUGAUUAAUCCCAAAGGGAGUAUGAUUUUGAAACUUAGUAUCACAAACUGUAAAACAAUGUUAGGUUUGAGUUUGAUAUAUAUAGAUGGUUUAAAUGUUUGAUUCCAGCUUACAACGGUCAUAAGCUCAAGGUUCAACUGGCGCUUGUUGUCACUGUUGCUGAAGGCAAAGGUGACAUUAAGUGAUGGUUGGAGCUUCCUAGGAUUUUUACCAUAUUAAAGGUUUAGGUAUUAAAUUGAUCAUGUAAGGGUUUAAAUUAUAAAUUGGUUAAUGAGGGUUCAUAUUGUAAAUGUUGUAAAUGGAUUUAUGUAAUAAUUUUAUACGCCCCCUCAAAAGCGAGUUGGGCUGAAAAGAAACGAACUUUUGGACUGGUCCAUGUUCCAAUCUUUAAAUAUAAAAAGGGUUUUGUAAAUUUGAUUUUGGUUGUAAACACGAAUCGUCUUGUAGGGUUUCAGAGGGAAAUGAGGGUUUCACUGGAGGCAAGGGUUUGCUGGAGGCAAUCGUUCGGGUAUGUUUCUAGUCUUCUUCUUUUGUGCAUGUCGCUCUAUUCCUCUUGUUUAUGUUGUCUUUGGUUGGGUAUCCUUAUUCAUUUGUAUUCUUAAUGGGUUUUGUAGUGGGUGUUCUGUCUGUUAAUGUGUUUGCAUGUCAGUGUUUUCUUUCUUGGUGUUUGUUUUCCUUCAUCCAUUGUGUUUGUUUUCCUCUAUCAGUCUGUUCCGUGUAAGUUUUCCAUUUUCAGUUUCUUUUUGAGAUGAUUGAAUAGAUAUCCUGUAACAUCUUUUGUGAAGAUGUCUUCCACGUUUUCUUUGGUGUUUACCCUUUCUAUUUCAAUCUCUUUUUGUAAAGCUUUGUCUCUGAUCGUGUGUGUAUCGAUUUCUAUGUGUUUUGUUCUUAAUUUGAUGUAAGACUGGGUUUGUUGCAAUUGCAGUUGCAGAGGAACUAUUAAUUUGUAUAGAGUUUUGGAGUUACUAUAUUUACUUGCAUUUCCUUUAAUAGUUGUUUUAGCCAUGUGAUUUCACAAGUUGUGUGUGCUAAGGGUCGGUACUCUGCCUCUGCUGACGAUCUUGUUACUGUAUGUUGUUUUUUGGUUUGCCAUGAAACUAGGUUAUCAUUCAAGAAGAUGGCAAAUCCUGAUGUGGAUCGUCUGGUUGUGGGGAAAGAGGCCCAGUCAGAGUCUGAAAAUACUUUAAUCCUUGCGGUUCUUGUGCCUGAUGAGAAGAAAAGUCCACUUCCUGGUGAGUUUUUAAUGUAUCUUAAUAUUUUGUUCACCUUAGUAGAGUCUUCAUUUGUUGGUUCUGACAUGUGUUGGCUUAGUUGGUUUACUACAUAUGUUAUAUCGGGUUUGGUUACAGUUAGGUAGACAAGUUUUCCAACUAUGCAUCUGUACUCAGUAGGAUCAUCAAGUAAUUUAAUUUCCUUGUUCUGUUUGUUUGACGAUCUUGAUGGUGUAUAGAGUGGGUAUUCUCCUGGUUUAGCAUGUAGAUAGUUGUUUUGUUCAAGGAUUUCUAAUGCAUAUUUUCUUUGGCUUAUAAAAAUCCCAUGUUGUGUUGUUGUGAAUUCUAAUCCUAAGAAUUUUUUUAAUGUUCCUAGAUCUUUGAUGUUAAAAAAACUGGUUAAAUCUGUCUUAAGUUUGAUUAUUUCUUUUAAGUUAUUUCCUGUGAUUAAUAGAUCAUCUACAUAUGGUAGGAUGAAAAUUUUAUUUUUCCCAUUGAUCUUACCGAAGAGAGCAUAAUCCUCUCUUGUCUGUUUAAAACCUAAUUUGUUUAGUACUUGUUGUAGUUUGUUAAACCACAUUCUAGAUAUUUGUUUUAAGCUAUAUAGAGGUUUUGUUAAUUUGCAUGCUAGUUUGUGGUUGUCUGUUGGUUCUUUGUUGAUCCUUAGACCUUGGUGAGACAUGCCUGAUUACGACAGUCACUCCCAGCAACGCCUUUCAAUAAGGACUAGGGUUCCGUCACUUUACCCCCGGAAGGCUCCCACGGUGCGGAACAAGUUCAUCGUCAAAUCGCGAGUUAACCCGUAAAUCGCGAUUGGACUACCAAAUCGCCGAUUUUAUGGACAAAUCGUUGAGUUAGGGCCCAGAUCGGCAGUAUGGUAGACUGCAUAUCUCGCCCCUUGAAACUCGACGAGUUUACCCUAAUAGGCGAUUUUCAUACCUGAAUCGUCGAUUUACGACCGUUACUCGCCGCCAGCCAACGCCAUAAAUGAACCCAUAUAUGGCAAUAGGCCUCGAUAUCCUCCUUUGAUCGCGCCCUCCGAGACCCUAUAAAAAGGGUCCCAAGGGGACACUCAAAGGCACAACACAAGUUCCACUCUCACCAGAGCACCACUAAGAGAAUCGCCGAUUUCCACACCAGAAUCGCCGAUUCUCUCCUUUCAGGUAUUUGACGUAGAGCGCGCGUCGUGGACUCCAGAGCCUCCGGCAUCACCUCGCACUACCGCGAGCCUUGGUAGCAGAUUCAGUGCUUCAUCAGAAGGCAUUUUGAACAUCCAUCUGAUGGAGGUGCCAUCCUUGGUGAGACAUGCCUGAUUACGGCAGUCACUCCCAGCAACGCCUUUCAACAAGGACUAGGGUUCCGUCGCUUUGGCCGGACCCCCGGAGAGCUCCCACGGUGCGGAACACGUUAAUCGUCCAGAUCGCCGAGUUAGCCCGUAAGUCGCCCGAUUGGACUACCAAGUCUCCGACAUAAAGGAUAAGUCGCCGAUUUAAGGGCAAGAUCGGCAGUAUGGUAGACUGCACAUCUUGCCACUGGAAACUCGGCGAGUUAGCCCUAACUAGGCGACUUCCAUACCUGAAUCGCCGACUUACGAAAGUUACUCGCCACCAGCCAACGUCAAAAAUGUUACCAUAUAUGACCAAAGGCGCGAUGUCCGCCUUUGAUUGCGCCCUCCAAGACCCUAUAAAAAGGGUCCCAAGGGGACACUCAAAGGCAUGAUUCAAGUUCCUCUCUCACACCAGAGCAUCACUAAGAAACUCGUUGAUUCUCAUUAGAAUCGCCUAGUUUCUCCUUGCAGGUAUUUGACGUAGAGCGCGCGUCGUGGACUCCGGAGCCUCCGGCAUCACCUCGCACCACCGCGAGCCCUAGUAGCAGAUUCAGUGCUUCAUCAAAUGUUCUUCAGAAAAUCGAGAAUACAACUUGUACGUCACUGUUCUUUUAUUAUUUGGUUAUUUACAGUCUAUGGUUUUUAGUCCUUGAUAGAUAUUAGAUAUUUAAUAUUAUUUAUCUAAUAUAGGUUUUAUCUAUUUUUGUGGAUUUCUUUGUCGUUUUCUUUACAUGUCGAAUUUUAUUUAUUCUUGUUCUAUUAAUAGGUUAAUAAAUUCUUGUUCUAUUUGAAGAAGAGAGUUUCCCACCUCUUCCUCAGGUACGUACCUUCUCCAAGUUAUAACGGACCUGAUGGAGGUUAUUGAAUUCUUAAUCUACCCUCCUCCAUUAUAGUCUGGGGCAUAGAUGGGCAGGAAGGGGAAUCAUCUUUAGAUGGAGGUGAUCGCCACCACUAAGUCAGACUUUAUAACAUUCCGGUGAUGGAUAUACACUUCCGAUGUUAUAAAAUCAUAUUUAAAAAUCCAACCUUGUCUCUGAUACCAAAUGAUAGAAAUUAUCAUACUUUAUGAUCUAAGAUUUUUAUAUCAACAACCCAAUGAUCCAAGCCUGGAUUAACUUGAUAUCUUCCUAAGAGUCCAACCACAAAUGCAAUAUCUGGUCUAGUGCAUACCUGAGCAUACAUUAGACUUCCAUAAGGAAAUGCUUUCAUUUCAUUCUUCUGUAAGUCUGUUAGAGGACAUUGAGCUAAAUUCAAUUUAUCACAUUUUACAAUUGAAGCAACACUUGACUUACAUUCUGAGAGAUUAAACCUUUGUAAUAUACGAUCGAUGUAAGCUGAUUGAGAAAGACCUAACAAAUGUCUAGAUCGAUUUCUGUUGAUCUCAAUACCAAGAACAAAAGAUGCUUCACCCAAAUCUUUCAUAUCAAAUUCACUUGAUAAGAAUUUCUUUGUUUCAAAUAAUAUACUUAAAUCGUUGCAAGCAAGUAAUAUAUCAUCAACGUAUAGAACAAGCAAAACAUAUUUGCUCCCUCUGACCUUGUGAUAUAUACAUGGAUCCAUGAGAUUUUCCGAAAAACCAUAUGAAGAAAUGAUUUCAUGGAAUUUAAUAUGUCAUUGUCUUGAUGCUUGUUUAAGUCCAUAUAUAGACUUUUUAAGUCUACAAACAAGCUUGUCAUUUUCUUCAAAACCUUGUGGUUGCGUCAUAUAUAUUUCUUCAUUGAGAUUCCCAUUAAGAAAAGCGGUUUUAACAUCCAUUUGAUGUAGUUCUAGAUUGUAGUGAGCCACUAAAGCCAUAAUGAUUCUAAAAGAAUUCUUCGAGGAAACUGGUGAAAAUGUUUCAUGAUAUUCAAUUCUCUCUCUUUGAGUGAAUCCUUUGGCAACCAAUCUAGCCUUAAACCGCUAAAUCUUUCCUCUGGAAUCUCAUUUGGUUUUAAAAGCCCAUUUGCAACUCACAACUUUAACACCCUCAGGUAACUGAAUAAGUUCUCAUUCUUUAUUAUGGUACAUAGACUGCAUCUCAUCUUUCAUUUCAUCUUGCCACAAAUUAAUCACAUUGUGCACUUGCAACCGCUUGAUCAUAUGAGAUAGGGUCAACUGUACUACUACAACCAAUGUCAUAGUCGUAUUCUCCUAAAUAAACUUCAUAAUCAUUAGGGAUAGCUGAUCUUCUUUCUCGAGUAGUCCUCCUUGGUUCAAUAACUAGUGGAUCUACUGGUGUAAUAAUUGGUUCAUCAACUUGAGCAAUAACUGGUGUGUCAACGGAUGUCACUGAAGAUGUGGUUGGUUUAAUCGAAAAUAAGGGUAUAACUACUGUUAAUGGUUGAUGGUCCAAUGAAUUAGAAACCUCUGAAGUAUUAACAUCUGCUACAUCAUUUUCUAAGAAUUUUGCUGUUCGAGAAUCUACAAUUAUUGUUCCACCAUGAGGUCUAUAAAAUCGAUAUACCUUAUAAUGAUUCGGAUAUCCCACAAAAUAGCAUGUCACUGUUCUUGAAUCUAACUUGUUUAAUGUUGGAUUGUAUAAUUUCACCCCUACAGGAUAACCCCAAAUCUUCAAAUGAUUUAAACUAGGUUUUCUACCUGUCCAAAGUUCAAAAGGUGUAACUGGUACUGACUUACUUGGGACUCGAUCAAAAUAUACAAUGCUGCUUGUAUUGCUUCACCCCACAAGAAUGUUGUUAAAUUUGCUCUACUAGUCAUGCUUCUCACCAUAUCCAUUAGGGUACGAUUUCUUCUUUCUGCCGCUCCAUUCUGCUCAGGAGUUCCUGACAUAGUGUAUUGCCCAAUUAUUCCAGAUUCUUCCAAAUAUUAUGCAAAAGGACCUUUAAGUUGUCCAACAUCUCCAUGUUUACCGUAAUAUUCUACACCUCUAUCUAUCUGAUCUAACAAUCUUUAUAGAUUUUUCCAAUUGUUUCUCAACUUCUGUUUUGAAUACUUUAAAUUUCUCUAAAGAUUCAUAUUUUUCUUUGAUAAGAAACAAAUAGCCAUAUUUAGAAAAAUCAUCUAUAAAUGUUAUAAAAUAUAAGCAUCCACACAGAGUUUUAUGAUAUGGUCCACUAAUAUCCGUAUAAAUAAUCUCCAAAAGACUAGUGUUACGAGUAGCAGUCUUUUUGCCUUUCUUGGUCAUUUUCCUCUUAAGACAAUCAAUACAUUCUGCAUUGUCAUUAUCUAAAGAAGGAAGAAUGGUCGAUUUAACCAAUCUUUUAAUUCUAUCUUGUGAAAUAUGAUCUAACCUUUUAUGCCAUAACGUAUAUGAUUUUUCUUUAUUUAAGGGUCUUUUGGAAACUGUAUUUUCCACAUUACAAGCUAUAUAGAACUUCAUAGAAUCAAGACAUAAUCUGUAUAGGUCAUAAGACAAAACACAAUUACCCAUAAUCUUUGAGUUAUGAAACAUUGAAACUGUAUUGUUCUUAAAUUCAAAAGAAAAACCAUGUUUUCUUAAUUUACUAACAGAAAUUAGAUUCCGUCUAAACGACGGAGCAUACAAAGUGUCUUUCAAUGUUAAACCAAAUCCUGAAUCUAGAUUUAAAAUAACAUCGCCCACAAAUUCUAAAUCAGUUUGUCCAUCAUUUCCUACUAACAAUCUUGAUUCAUCCUGAUUUGGCUUCCUUCUAUUUGUGAAUCCCUGUAUGGUGAAUGCAACAUGAUUAGUUGCUCCACUAUCCAACAACCAAGAACUAGAUGAAGAUUCUAUUAAAUUAGAUUCAUAAACUAAUGUCAAAGAAUCAAUACCUUUUUGUUCCUGUUUUAUGAGCCAAGAUUUAAACUUUAAGCAAUUCUACUUUAUGUGUCCCGGUUUCAUACAGAAGAAACAUCCAUUGAUUGCUUUCUUGAGGGAGUUCUUGUUAGAACCAAAUUUGUCAGAUAAGUUGGUAUCCUUAGAAUCUUUAUUUUUCACAAACAUUUUGAACUUAAAUCCUUUCUUAUUUGAACUAUACAUUGUUAUCGAAGAUUUUUCGCCUUUUAUUUUAUCUCCUAUGUCUCCAAAUAAUUAUUUCUUUUAAUUCGAGCCCAGCUCGCGGGUUCGAGCCCGGGCCCAAACCUAACAAUUCUUAAAACGAGCCGAGCCCGAGCCUGGCUCUAUAAGCAAAAGCUCAACUUGUUUGACACCCUAAUCUCUGAUAAAUAUUCCGAGAAUAUUUUGCCACUUAUCUUCAAAUUCUGAAGUUUUUUGGCGUAGACUCAUCACAUACGAUCGAGAAUUAGAUGCAAAUUGCAUUUGAAGUGUUUCCCAUACCUCAUGUGCCGUAGCACAAUCAGAGACUUCCGACAGUACCGAGGGUGAAAUUGAUGAAAAUAGCCAUCCUAAAAUCAAUUGAUCUUGCUUGAUGGCAAGAGAGUUGUCCAAUUUUUCCCUACCGGCCAGAUAGUCCAUCAGCUCAUGACCUCGGAUAUUAGCCCCAAAUUGGGCUCUCCACGCGAAGUAAUUGCUGCGGUCUAGGGCUACAGUCUUGAAGUUCUUGGCGGUCACCUUUCCUGGUGCGUCGUUGCCAUAGAGCUUCUUUGCAGCCAGCGAAAUCCCUUUGUCAGCUUCGUCAAUCGACAUUGCGUAUCGGAAAAAAAUUGUGAUCGUCAACGAUCUUGGAGCGAUUCCGAUGAUCAGAGAUGUGCGGCUUCCCAAGAUCAGCUAGGCGAAAGGUACCAUAACAGUGAAUUGAAAUAUAUGAAUGGGGAAAGCCAAACUCGAUCCCUUUCAUAUUCAAUAGAAAGAUCUAUUUAUACAAUUUGUUACUCUAAUAUCCUAUUUGUUUGUUCUUUUGUAUUAUCGAUAUUUAUUGUCUAUUUUUUAUAAUGUUCUUGUCUAUUUUUAUAUUUACAGUCUAUGGUUUUUAGUCCUUGAUACUUGAUAGAUAUUUGAUAUCUAUUAUAUAUUUUAUCUAUUUUUAUGGUUUCUUUGUCGUUUUCUUUAUUCAUUUUUAUUCAUUCUUGUUCUAUUAAUAGGUUACCAAAUUCUUGUUCUAUUUGAAGAAGAGAGUUUCCCAUCUCUUACUCGGGUACCUUCUCCAAGUUAUAAGGAACCAGAUGGAGGCCAUUGAAUUGUUAGUCUACCUUCCUCCAUUGGAGUCUGAGGCAUAGAUGGACCGAAAGGAGAAUCAUCUAGCUUUAGAUGGUGGAGGAGAGCACGACUUGUGCUAGAACUUGUUCAAGAAAUUUGACAAAUUUACGCUUCUCAACCUUACUCAUGGCUCUCGCGUCUUGAUGUUUCAAGAGUUGUUCGUGGAGGGUACGUAAGGCUAUCCCCAAUUGAAUCUUUGACUGGGGGAGAGAUGAUUCCGUCAGGGAAUUUAAUGUAAAAAUUCGAAAAACAAACAGAUAACAUUAUUAUUAGAGGAAAUGUUUCAAAUAAAAUAUUUAAAAUGAUAUAUUUUGUGAAAUAUUAAUUUAGAACGUUCAUUUAUUUUAAAUUAAAUGAAACACAUAUUAAGGUAGAUCAUAUCUCGAGGUUGUAUAUCUCAAUUUACUCCAAAUAAAUAUGUUAGAUUAAUAUCUCAUUUGAAGUUUACCCUAUUAAUAGAUGAGAGAUCGGAGAUCGAACGACAGGAUGGAAUUAGUGGAAUGUUUUAGAGAUUAAUUUUAUACCAUUUAAAUGAAAUAAAAGAGUACUUAUACUAUUACAAUAUUUGUAAUUAAUUAAUUCUAAAGGAUUUUUAAUAUAAAAAUUCUAAUUGAAGCAGCGGUCUUCCGCUUCUCUCUCCGGCUCGGACCCGGUUCAUCACCGUUGGGUGAUUUUUUUUUACCGUGGUCUUCCCCCAAUUAAGUUAGGAUUUAGGUCGUCUUCUUCAACAACAACUCUUCUAAUCGUCAUGCUAUCUUCCUGGAUAGUGGAGCAGUCUAUCAGCAUCAUAUCAUCGUCGGCUUCUUCAGAUUCGGCAUUGUCUUCAAUGUUGAUAGGAGGGAAAAGACGCAACACAUCUUCAUGAAAUUCCCAAGACGAGUCCUCCGGUAUCGCUCCAUUCCAAGCGACCAGCCAUUGAUUUCUCUGUCUCGAUCUCACCCUGAAAAAUGGUACGUUUAUUAGAAUAAAUAACUUCUACUGUUUUGUUAGUUGAGUUUAAUAUUCUCAAAUACAAGUUUAUACAAUGAGUUAGUUGUUAGAGGUUAAUUAGUUUUAGAUACUCUUUCUUAUAAAUACUUUUGUAAGACUGUAUUCUUGGUUAAUGAAUUGAGUUCUUUCUUUUGAGAUUAUUGUUGAAUUGAGCUUGAAACAAGCACCAAAAUCUUGGUACUCAAGACUGAGUGCAUUCCUAAUAUUAAAUGAAUUCUCUAACAGUCUGGCAGAUACAUUAUUGUUUCAAAAAAAAGAUAAUAUUUUAAUUUGAGUAAUUGUGUAUAUAUAUAGAUGACAUUAUAAUUUCAAGAAACAACAACAUUGAAAUUGAAGUUUUUAUUAAAAAUCUUUGUACUGCAUGAAUUUAGAUGUAGAGACCUAGGACUUUUGAAAUAUUUCUUUAGUAUAGAAAUUAGAUACAAUUUUGAUGGGUCACUUAACAUGACUCAAUCUAGAUAUGCAUUGCUUAUUUUAAGUAAAAACAACAUGCUAAAUUGUAAACUCAUAAGAACAUUAAUAUUGCCAAAUUCCAAAUUGUCCAAAGAAAAUGGAGAAUUGUCCAAAGAAAUUAAGAUGACACCAGAAAAUCAACAACAAGCUAUUGUGUAUAUAUCGGAGGAAAUCUAGUGACAUGGUCAUCAAAGAAAUAGACAACUAUUUCAAGAUCCAGUGCUGAGGCUCAAUAUAUAGCCUUAGCAAGUCAUACAACUGAAAUUAGAUGGACUCACUUCAUAUGUAAGGACCUUCUACAUAAUUUACAUCAGAAACCUUUGUUAUAUACAGAUAACAGUUCAGCCAUUUUUAUGGCUAGAAACUGUUAAGUUUUGAUAGGUGUAUGAAAUAUAAUCCAAGUAUGGUUUAAUGAUUAAUCCAGAGUAAAGCAAAAUAGUGUUGAUACAGCGGAUAGUAUUGAUUGUUUAAUUUAUCUAAUGAGUAUGAUCAAGAUGUGUUGCAGGUAGAUAAUGUUUGACAGGGAUGAUAUAUAUAUGAUUUGUCCAAGUAGAUGCGGAGAUAUGUGUAUGCAUGCAAUAGAUAUCAGGUAUGAUAUAUAUAUAUGCAGGUGAUUUAGCAAUACUGAGAUCGUUUGGAGAGCGAGGAGAUGACGAUGUAGGAGAGUCGAUGACUGAGUGUAGAGCAGAUCGGAGUGAAGCUGAUGAUGACUUUGAUCCACAGAUGAUGAUUAAUCCCAAAGGGAGUAUGAUUUUGAAACUUAGUAUCACAAACUGUAAAACAAUGUUAGGUUUGAAUUUGAUAUAUAUAGAUGGUUUAAAUGUUUGAUUCCAGCUUAUAACGGUCAUAAGCUCAAGGUUCAACUGGCGCUUGUUGUCAAUGUUGCUGAAGGCAAAGGUGGCAUCAAGUGAUGGUUGGACCUUCCUAGGAUUUCUAUCAUAUUGAAGGUUUAGGUAUUAAAUUGAUCAUGUAAGGGUUUAGAUUAUAAAUUGGUUAAUGAGGGUUCAUAUUGUAAAUGUUGUAAAUGGAUUUAUGUAAUAAUUUUAUACGCCCCCUCAAAAGCGAGUUGGGCUGAAAAGAAACGAACUUUUGGACUGGUCCAUGUUCCAAUCUUUAAAUAUAAAAAGGGUUUUGUAAAUUUGAUUUUGAUUAUAAACACGAAUCGUCCUGUAGGGUUUCAGCGGGAAAUGAGGGUUUCACUGGAAGCAAGGGUUUGCUGGAGGCAAUCGUUCGGGUAUGUUUCUAGUCUUCUUCUUUUGUGCAUGUCGCUCUAUUCCUCUUGUUUAUGUUGUCUUUGGUUGGGUAUCCUUAUUCAUUUGUAUUCUUAAUGGGUUUUGUAGUGGGUGUUCUGUCUGUUAAUGUGUUUGCAUGUCAGUGUUUUCUUUCUUGGUGUUUGUUUUCCUUCAUCCAUUGUGUUUGUUUUCCUCUAUCAGUCUGUUCUGUGUAAGUUUUCCAUUUUCAGUUUCUUUUUGAGAUGAUUGAAUAGAUAUCCUGUAACAUCUUUUGUGAAGAUGUCUUCCACGUUUUCUUUGGUGUUUACCCUUUCUAUUUCAAUCUCUUUUUGCAAAGCUUUGUCUCUGAUCGUGUGUGUAUCGAUUUCUAUGUGUUUUGUUCUUAAUUUGAUGUAAGACUGGGUUUGUUGCGAUUGCAGUUGCAGAGGAACUAUUAAUUUGUAUAGAGUUUUGGAGUUACUAUAUUUACUUGCAUUUCCUUUAAUAGUUGUUUUAGCCAUGUGAUUUCACAAGUUGUGUGUGCUAAGGGUCGGUACUCUGCCUCUGCUGACGAUCUUGUUACUGUAUGUUGUUUUUUGGUUUGCCAUGAAACUAGGUUAUCAUUCAAGAAGAUGGCAAAUCCUGAUGUGGAUCGUCUGGUUGUGGGGAAAGAGGCCCAGUCAGAGUCUGAAAAUACUUUAAUCCUUGCGGUUCUUGUGCCUGAUGAGAAGAAAAGUCCACUUGCUGGUGAGUUUUUAAUGUAUCUUAAUAUUUUGUUCAACUUAGUAGAGUCUUCAUUUGUUGGUUCUGACAUGUGUUGGCUUAGUUGGUUUACUACAUAUGUUAUAUCGGGUUUGGUUACAGUUAGGUAGACAAGUUUUCCAACUAUGCAUUUGUACUCAGUAGGAUCAUCAAGUAAUUUAAUUUCCUUGUUCUGUUUGUUUGACGAUCUUGAUGGUGUAUAGAGUGGGUAUUCUCCUGGUUUAGCAUGUAGAUAGUUGUUUUGUUCAAGGAUUUCUAAUGCAUAUUUUCUUUGGGUAAUAAAAAUCCCAUGUUGUGUUGUUGUGAAUUCUAAUCCUAAGAAUUUUUUUAAUGUUCCUAGAUCUUUGAUGUUAAAAAAACUGGUUAAAUCUGUCUUAAGUUUGAUUAUUUCUUUUAAGUUAUUUCCUGUGAUUAAUAGAUCAUCUACAUAUGGUAAGAUGAAAAUUUUAUUUUUCCCAUUGAUCUUACUGAAGAGUGCAUAAUCCUCUCUUGUCUGUUUAAAACCUAAUUUGUUUAGUACUUGUUGUAGUUUGUUAAACCACAUUCUAGAUGCCGAUCCAGAGGCUCAAUCGCCGACUCCCCAUGAGCCUAGUGGCAGUCUACCAGAACUGUCCACGAAGCCUAGAGUCAGCGAUUCACCCCUGAAGUCGGCGACUUGGUAGUCCCAGUCGGCGACUCCCAGGUGCUGCCUUGAGUACUUGACGUAGACACUCCUUCCAAAUUCGUGGAACUCUUCGAGGGUCCGGCAUAAGGCGACGGAACCCUAGUCCUUGUCGAAGGGCGUUGCUGGGAGUGGCUGACGUGAUCAGGCAUGUCUCACCAGUACUCCCCCCUGAAGAGAGCAUGGCAAAACACCUGUGUACCGCCAGUAUCCCCCCCAAGCAAGGUGAUCUGCAUCAAGGCGAGUAGCGACAAGAUGGGAUUGAGUCAUUGCGCUCACAGCGACACUAAUGGCUCCGCAUGGUCCAUGCACUAUCAGAUGGACUGAUUCACUAUCAGAAUCUAGUUCCAGGCCAAUGGAACUACAUGUUUAUAGUCCUACUCUGAUCAAGAGCGACUUUUGCUGUGUGGAUUCUGGCCGAAGCGACAAAAUGCAUGGAUUCACUAUUAGAAUCUGAUUCUGGCCGAAGCGACAGAAUGCGUGGAUUCACUAUUAGAAUCUGAUUCUGGCCGAAGCAACAGAAUGCGUGGAUUCGUUAUCCGAAUCGGGUUCUGGCCGAAGCGACAAAUCGCGUGGAUUCAUUAUUAGAAUAUGAUUCUGGCCGAAGCGCGAGAAUGCGUGGAUUCGUUAUCCGAAUCGGGUUCUGGCCGAAGCGACAAAUCGCGUGGAUUCAUUAUUAGAAUCUGAUUCUGGCCGAAGCCCGAGAAUCUAGUUCACUAUCAGAACUGAUGUUUAUAGUCUACCCUGAUCAAGAGCGACUUGGUGUCCGCAACGACGGUUACCCCAUAGGCCGAAGCGCAAGAUGGGUCGAGAUCAUUAAGGUCAAAGCGACAAAAUGAUCUCCAAAUGUUCGAAGGACUAUUGAAGCCAAAGUGACAACAUAAUUCUUGCCGAAGCGACAGAAUCAUGCCUGCAAAACAAAAAACAACCUGCAAAACAACUAUAUCAGUCUAAAGGAUAUAUUUAUUGAUUUACUGACCUUGCCGUGCGGAGCAGCCUCUCAUGCUGCUCCUCCUUAUGCUCAAUAAAUCCUUGAUUGAUCUGUCCGAAGCGACAGAUCUUUCAUGCUAAAAAAUGUGACAGCUUCUGGCCGAAGCGACAGAAGUGCCGACUCACUAUUAGAGUCUGAUUCUGACCAAGGCUACAGAUCCACNNNNNNNNNNNNNNNNNNNNNNNNNNNNNNNNNNNNNNNNNNNNNNNNNNNNNNNNNNNNNNNNNNNNNNNNNNNNNNNNNNNNNNNNNNNNNNNNNNNNNNNNNNNNNNNNNNNNNNNNNNNNNNNNNNNNNNNNNNNNNNNNNNNNNNNNNNNNNNNNNNNNNNNNNNNNNNNNNNNNNNNNNNNNNNNNNNNNNNNNNNNNNNNNNNNNNNNNNNNNNNNNNNNNNNNNNNNNNNNNNNNNNNNNNNNNNNNNNNNNNNNNNNNNNNNNNNNNNNNNNNNNNNNNNNNNNNNNNNNNNNNNNNNNNNNNNNNNNNNNNNNNNNNNNNNNNNNNNNNNNNNNNNNNNUAUUAGAACCUUUCCUGCAAAAAAGAAAACAUCCUGCAAAAUAACUAGAUCAGUUCGAAAACGCAUAUAUUUAUUAUUGAACUUACCGUGUGAUCUACCUUUCGUGAUGUCCCUCCUUUGCUCAAAUUUGUCCUCGGUAAAUCUGGCCGAAGCGACAGAUUUUACCGUGCUCAAUUUCUUUGACGACUUCUGGCCGGAGCGACAGAAGUGUCGGGAGAGCUUGUGAUACUCCCCCCUGAAAUGUGACGACUUCCAUCCUAUAGACAGAAGUGCCGGGAGAGCUUGUGAUACUCCCCCUCGAAAUGUGACGACUUCUAUCUAAAUAGACAGAAGUGCCGGGAGAGCUUGUGAUACUCCCCCUCGAAAUGUGACGACUUCCAUCCUAUAGACAGAAGUGUCGGGAGAGCUUGUGAUACUCCCCCCUGAAAUGUGACGACUUCCAUCCUAUAGACAGAAGUAUCGGGAGAGCUUGUGAUACUCCCCCUCGAAAUGUGACGACUUCCAUCCUAUAGACAGAAGUGUCGGGAGAGUUUGUGACACUCCCCCUCGCGAAUUGUGCCCUUGUGACACAAAAACAUUUGCGACGAGUGUUUUUCGAAGUAUGUGACUGUCGGUGAACUAUCUAUUGUUUUUCCUUUGCUAAUCUUUCAUAUAAAUUACCCUUCAAAUUGUAACUAAGGCCCGAAACUAGAUUCACAAGUCGUAAUUUAGCCACUCUGGACGUAAAUUAGACUCUGCUAACCCUAUUGCUAGCCACUCUGGGCAUAGACUUGGUCGUACGAAUCGUAGCUCAGUCUACGGUUAAAUUUAUGGACAAUUUAUACCUCUAGACUAGCGUCGGAUUACUAGAGAUAGAGUAAACGACGAAUCAGAGAUAUUCGACACUCAAAGGUUGCCUUAAAAUUCGGAACCUUAACGAUGGAGAGAGCUUGUGAUACUCCCUCCUGAAAUAUGAUGACUUCUGGCCGAAGCGACAGAAGUGUCGGGAGAGUUUGUGAUACUCCCCCCUUGAAAUUUGACAACUUCUGGUCGAAGUGACAGAAGUGUCGGGAGAGUUUGUGAUACUCCCCCCUGAAGACUUGCACUUGGGGCAGUUUUAGUGUUAUUUUACCCGGAAUCGGCAACAAGAGUUUGUGAUACUCCUACAGUCGGCGAUACCUAUGGUUUGGGUAACUGUAGAGGGUAUUUUUGUUUUUUACCCCUGCGAGUCGGCGACUCCCUCUGUGAGUCGGCGACUCCUAGUGUAACCGCCGGAUCUUUUUGGGAGAUCCUUGGGAUAUUGGGAAGAUAUACGGGGAUUAUUUGUAAAAUCUCCAAAUAAGGAAAUUUUUCUCACAGUGCUGUGAGUUUUUGCCCGGAGUCGACGACUGCCCUGUGGAGUCGGCGACUUGGCGUGAUUCGGGGGAUUUGGAGAUCGAUUCUUGAUCUCAAAUUUUGUAAAUUUUGGGUUUUCUAGGGGGUUUUUGCAAUUUUCCCAAGGGCUAUAAAUAGUGGAGAGGUUUUCCCCAAACCCUCACAACACUUUUGCCACUCUUAAAUCGCCCACACCUCCAGAUUUUUGAAUCGUCGAUUCUUCAGUUUUAAAACUUCGAAUCGCAGAUUCCCCCAAUGUCUACCCCCGAUUCCCCUUUGUCUCCAUUGAAGGAAAACGAAACGUCAGCUUUCAUAGCUGAGAUGAUUGUGGACAACCUUGAUGAGGUGUUGAACACCGUUGAAUCGCCGAUUCCCUCUCCUGACAGAGAGGUUGAGCCGGCGAUUCCGGUCGUGCCACCUCAUGGAAUGGAGUUGAGUGCCACCGUGCACGAACUACUUGGCGCCUCGCCAGUGUCGGCGACUCCCCUUGUGGAGUCGGCGACUCAGUGCAGGGCCCUUGUAGUCGUACGGGAGCCUCUUGAGCUGGGGGAAAUUCCCGUGGCCUCUGUGUCGGCGACUCCCAUUGUGGAGUUGGCGACUCACGCAGGUCCUGUUAAAGGGAAAUCCUUCAAGCGAAGGGGGCAGGGCUCAGCUGCCAUUGGGUCGGCGACUGCUGGCCAUGCCUCGCCGAUUCCUAUCAUUGAAUCGGCGACUCGUGUGCUGGAGUCGGCGACUCCUAUGCUUAUUGAUGAUUCUUCCGCGCGUCGCACCGUACCAUUGGUCAUGAGCGCGGAAGGCCGAAUCGUGUCGGGACUGAACCCGAACCAAGGUCCUUCUCUGAAGAGAAAGAGAAGGCGCACCACUGGGAAGGGCAAAGUACGCGUGCCCGAAGAGAACGAAGGGGUCCCUCCUCCAUUGAAUAUAAACUUCGAGGAGACCUUGACUGUGGACCGUGGUGCUCAAAAUCCAUGACGUAGAGCGGGCCGGCGCUCUGAGAGAACUCCGCCACCUCCCGUGGAUCUGAACGCUAGUCGAGACCCGGACCUCGACUUGAACACGUACGUUGGAGCUUUGAACCCCUCUGGGUUCGCUCACUGUGAAAUCGCCGCGAAUGGCAUACCAAGGUUGCUUCCUAUCGACCGUUUUGGGGACGGCGAUUAUGAACAAGUGAUGACUCAUGCAACCUUGGAUGGGUCCGAUGGAGUGAAUCCCCCCUCCAAUUUGAAUGCGAGCGACGCUCGAUCACUGCUGUCGGGGAUUCAGAUAUCUGGUCAUCUGCGAUUCUGGAUGUCGCGAUACCAGCCGAUUAAUCUGCCAUCCCCGGGAUUCUAGGCUAUCCCGAGGAUCUACUUCAAGCACUUCUCCGAGCUGCCAAUUCCGGAGAUCAUCAGUGAAGUGCUCUUGAGAUUUGAAGUGUCCCUGUCGCAGCUCCCUGCGGGAUUCUUUGUGAUCCUGCGUGGUUUCAUGAACAUCUGCUGGGGGCUCAAUGUUGCUGCGACGGCGAGCUUGUUUCUGUACUUCUACAAGCUCACCAGAGAGAAGUCUGCAUCCGGUCGCUUUGGAUUCACGCGGCGACACUUUGACAAAAAUAUCGUCGACGAGCUCCCGACGAACUUCGGAUGCAACUGGAGAAAAGAGUUUAUCUUCAUAACUUCUGAAUUUCUUCCCGGGAGUCGGGAAAUGUGGAAUGACCCUAAUCGAGUGCAUAUGAACGCCUCGAUCGAGCUGAGUACGAGGGAUAUUGAGGUCUCGGAUCGGAUAGCGCGUACGCUUACUGCAUACUCUGUGCCGCGCGGUGUUCCCUUUGUCCUUUGCCAAAGGGAAGACUUUACAUUUGAUGAUAUUGAGGAAGCUCGUGAGCCACCCACUGAGAAAGAGCUGGAAGGUGGACAAAAACGAUCGAUCCUAUACCACGACGCUGCACCUCUUUAUAUGCGCAAGAGGUUCCGAGAGGGCAAGCUGAUCAGAUUGCGAAAGAAGAAGACCUCUCGCAGCGAGCCUCGCCGGACCUUUGAGCAUGGGUCGAGCUCUCGCUCUGCACCACCACCUCCCAGGGGCUAUGUGCCUUACACUUCUGCUGGAGUGACACUUCCCGACUUCAUGGCUGAUGCUGAAACUCGAAGGGAAGCGAUGUCACUCCUUUUGGGUCAUCCUGGGACCUGGUGCCGGAGCGAGCUCUUAAAGCAUUUGAAUGCCGCAUGCUAUAUGGCACAUGCUUGUUAUCAUGGAGACUCUAUCCAUGACGUCGAGAAGAUACAAGAAAAAUACAACCAACUCGACGCGAAGUUCAAAGAGAGCGAGAAGGCUCUCGAUAAGCUGAAGAAUAUGAGGUCCAGGAUGGAGAACCUCCGUGACAAUAUUCUGCCGAAGAAGGACAAGACCAUUGAGUCCAAGCAGAAAGAAAUAGAUGAGUAUGUCACGAAGAUCUUGGCGCUUCGCAAAGAUCUGAAAGUUGCUAGUUCUGGCAGCACUAAAGACAUUGAAGAUCUAAAGAGCCAACUAGCUAAUGAGAAAGGGUACGUGGCCUCGCUUGAGGCUACGGUAGCGGAGUUGAAGAAGCAAGCUGCUCAGAGCCAACGAGAAACCACUGAGCUGAAAAGCGAGCUUGCAAGUGCGGAAGAAGAGGUUCUGACUCUGAAAGAUGACAAUGCCGCACUUGCUGGGAGAGCUGCUGGGUUGGAUUUGGAUGUACGUUACCAAUCCGACCAGCUUCAAGAGCUCAUAUUCUUUGGUCCUUCCGUGUAUCCUGCUCUACCCCCCGACUACAUCACGGACAUAAUGGCGUGGGUAGAGCAACAUCCUGAAGAGCUCGAGAAAAAUAAAGAAGCUCUCGACAAGAUGAAGGACGAAGCCGCGCGAGAAUAGAUUUUCUAAGUCCUUUUAUUUUGUAACCUUUUUGUACUCGUUAUCUUUUUGUAAAUCUGAAAAUUUUUAAUGAAAUUAAUCGCUUUUGCUUUUCUAUUCAAUUGUUCAUUUACUUUAUUCUUUUGAAUUGUAACUAAGACCCGAAACUAGAUUCGCGAGUCGUAAUUUAGCCGCUCUGGACGUAAAUUAGACUAACCCUAUCGCUAGCCACUCUAGGCGUAGACUUGGUCGUACGAAUCGUAGCUCAGUCUACGGUUAAAUUCGCGAAAAUAAACUAAACUUUACAACUAAUAGUAAGUCGCAAUAUCGAUUAACAAAUUCGAAAGAUAACAAAUAUGUCGAAAGAUAACUAUCAAUCCUAAGACUCUAGAGUUGUAGUUUUGCUCCAGCCAAGGUGACGGAGCAACUUUUUGUCCCAUACCAAAGAUGUAACAAUGAGAUGGGGUGAAAAUUUAAAAACGUUUACUAAUCUAUUAAGGCCGUAGCGACAUGAUAGAUUUUGAUUUGUGGUGGGUACUUAGAACCUCUUGUGGUUGGGUUCACUUGUCCCUAUCAACUACCUAGGACUCUGCUUUUAGACCCUAAUGCGUGGUUGAACUCUGGCCAUGAUGACAGAGCAACUUUUUGGACCCAUAUCUGGGCUGAAGUGAUCAUAAUGUGUUUAAAGAUAAUUUUGAUCUAUUAAGGCAAUAGCGACAAAAUAGAUUCAUAAAGUGGGGUGCUAGCUAGAGUCGUAGGUAGAUGAUAAAUCUAAAUUUUAUUAAAAGAUGUAAAUUACAACAGUAAGAUUUGUAAUUUUUAAACUAACACAUAGACUAAGAGGCUCUAACGUGCUUAAUACUAAGUGCGAUGUUGCUGUACGUUGUCCGUGUGCCAGAUGCAAGGACUUUUGGGUGACAGCUUAUUCCUAUUCCUCUUAGUUAUGCUAGCCUUUCUGUUGGUCUACCACCAGAUAGCAUAUGGAUGGUUUUCCGUGGGUGAUCUUCCCUAUUGUCACUGUCUGGUGAAGGAGAGCGUGGGCGCUUCCCAUUCACGUCAGACUUGCAAUUGUUUCGAUCCCGGGAUCCUUUGACCAGGCUGUCAAGUUCGCCGUUCGAAAUUAAUUGCUCGACAUAAAGCGAGAAUUCCCUGCAAUAGUCUGUCAGAUGGUCGUGGUCCUUGUGGAAUUCACAGAAUUUUCCACUUUUCUGGCGGCGAUCCUUGGUUGCAGGGUUCAUAGAGCGAGGAGCGGGCAGAUCCGCUCUGUUCUUCAGUUUUUCAAACAGCUCGCCUUUGCUGAUUGUUAGUGGGGUCCGGUUCCUCCAAGGUUGAGGUGGACCCCUUGGCGAUCGUUUGACGGAUAUUUGAUACACUUUGUUAUCAUGUUUAGGCUUCCAAUCCUUUCUGAAGGAAUCAGCCGCAUUGCUAGUGUAUCUGUUCGAGGAGUCAUUGUAGCUCUUUCUCUCGAACUUUUGUUUUUUGAAGCUAGUGUUCUCGAGUUCCACUAGCUUGUUUUCAUUCUGCUCUUCCACCUCAAUGAAUGACUGAGCUCGUUGGAAGAGGUCGGGUAAGGUCUCCACUUUGUGGAGUGUGAGAUUCAGGGCCAGAGGGGAGUAGGGUACCAGCACGUUUGUAUACCCCGCAAUGGCCAAACUUGGGAUUAAGUCGCUCACUUCUGUCAUCAUUGAAGUGAACUUAAACGUGUAAUCCCUUAGAGACAGUUUGUCCUGUCGUAGCGCCAAUAGUGCAUUGACGCUGUGUUUGAUCCUGAUCAUCCCCACAUGCUGGGCGAUGAAUUUGGAUGCGAGGUCUGCAAAGCAGGAAAUUGAUCCGGCUGGCAGACCAGAAAACCAUCGAUAGGCAUUGCCCUUAAGAGUGCCGGGGAAUGCUCGACACAGCAGUGCGUUAUCAGUGGUUUGCGGUUCCAGAACGCUGAGGUAGAGGUUGACGUGAUCUUGUGGAUCACUCGAACCAUCGUACGAUUCUAUUCUGGGUACCCGCCAGGUUGGUGGAAAGGCCACCUUCAAAAGGUCCUCUUGGAAAGGAGCGCUUUUGACUCUUAAGAACUCGAUCGGAUUGCUGAUGACUAGAGUGUCAGCCAGCUUCCGACGGAGGUCCUCUACGAAUCGUGUUGUAAGAGUCCUAUCAGUGCGACUCUUACUGGGUCCAGCUCUUAAUUUUUCUGGCUCUGGACCUUUCUUUUUCUCCGUAGUUGGAGAAUUGUGAGAAGCCGAUUUGGUAAGACAUGCCUUAUUACACCAGUCACUACCCAUCAACGCCUCUCAACAAGGACUAGGGCUCCGUCGCUAUGGCAGGACCCCCGGAGAGCUCCCACGGUGCGGAACACGUUCAUCGUCCAGAUCGCCGAGUUAGCCCGUAAAGUCGCCCGAUUGGACUACCAAGUCGCCGAGUUAAGGCAAGAUCGGCAGUAUGGUAGACUGUACGUCUUGGCCCUAGAAACUCGCCGAGUUAGCCCUUAACUAGGUGACUUCCAUACCUGAAUCGGCGACUUACGACCGUUACUCGGCGACAGCCAACGUCAUAAAUGUUACCAUAUAUGACCAUAGGCGCGAUCUCCGCCGAUGAGUGCGCCCUCCGAGACCCUAUAAAAGGGGUCCCAAGGGGACACUCAAAGGCACGAUUCAAGUUCCACUCUCACACCAGAGCACUACACUACGAAACUCGGCGAGUCUCAUUAGAAUCGCCUAGUUUCCACUUGCAGGUAUUUGACGUAGAGCGUGCGUCGUGGACUCCAAAGCCUCCGGCAUCAACCUCGCACCACUGCGAGCCCUGGUAGCAGAUUCAGUGCUUCAUCAGCUGACGCCGUCUGUGGGACUACCGAACCACCGGUAUCCCGUCGUAAUCGCGAUUUUUUAAAAAUCCGGCUCGAGCUCUCCCAAGAGUUCGCCGAGUUUGUCAAAAAAUCGCCUACUUAGAUCGUCCGAUUCUCGGUUAACGUCCGAUUUAGCCUUAAAUCGCCGACUUAUCCUUGAGAAUCGCCCGAUCCGGAAUAUCGUCUGCUAGCUAAGAGUGUUGUCCACGACCUUGUUCGGAAAAACCCCUAACUCGCCGAGUUAACACUUAACUCGCCGACUUAGCUCUUGUUUUCCCAACAGGCUCAGUCAGGUACCUCUCUGCUUUGGUACUUCCUCGCUUUCGCUUUCAUGGCAAUCAUCGAAAAGCAGAAGCACCCUUACGCCACAAGAAGUAAGGGGAAAAUGCCAGCAACUGAGCUGGAACAGGGUGAGCAAUCCCGACCUAAGGGACCCAUCAAUGCUCAACCUGUGGAAACAAACUCGGUUCCUCCUCCUGUCGAGGAACACAUUAUGCCCAAGGCUCCACCCACCUUGGAAGAAAGGUUGUUCAGUUUCAUGGACAACAUUGAAAGAAGGAUGACUAACCUCGAGCAAGCGAGGAGUCAUAGGACCACCACCAUCCGUGAAAGAACGGACGAAUCUGGGUCCAUCUAUUCUCCAUCUGCGGAGAAAAAACAGAGUUCCCGUCCCAAGACGGGACCCAGUAAGAGUCGCUCCGAGAGGACUCUUACUACUCGGUUCGUAGAGGAUCUUCGGCGGAAGUUGGCCACCGACCCAGCCGUCGGCAACACGCACGAAAUCCUGAGGGUUAAAAGUCCUCCUCUUAGCGAGGACCUUUUAAAGGGAGUUUUCCCACCCAACUGGCGGGUACCAAGAAUCGAGGCAUACGACGGUUCAAGUGAUCCAGAAGAUCACGUGAACCUCUACCUCAACGUCUUGGAACCGUAAACCAUCGAUGAUGGGCUGCUGUGUCGGGCAUUCCCCGGCACUCUCAAAGGCAGCGCUUAUCGAUGGUUCUCUGGUCUGCCAGCUGGCUCAGUCACCAGCUUUGCAGACCUCUCAUCCAAGUUCAUCGCCCAACACGUGGGGAUGAUAAGGAUUAAACAUAGUGCCAACGCACUCCUGGCACUGAGACAGGACAAACUGUCUCUGAGGGACUAUACGGUCAAGUUCACCACAAUGAUGACAGAGGUGAACGACCUAAUCCCGAGUGUGGCCAUAGCGGGAUACAUUAGAGGAUUAGUCCCCUACUCCCCUCUGGCCCAAAAUCUGACUCUCUACAAGGUGAGUUCUCUGCCCGAACUCUUCCAACGCACUCAAUUGUACAUUGAGGUGGAAGAGGAGGACGAGAACAAGCUAGCUGAACUUGGGACUCCUAACUUCCAAAAGCCUAAGUUUGAGAGGAAGGGGUACAGUGGAAACAACAAUUUCCACGACACCUCCAACAAGUAUACCAGUAACAAGGCCGAGACUUCCAAAAAAGAAUGGAAGCCUAGGCAUGAUAACAAGAUAUACCAAGCCUCAACCAGCAAGCCAAAGGGUGUAAUUCCACUAUGGAAAAGAAACACCCCGCUUACUAUCAGAAAAGGCGAGCUGUUUGAGAAGCUAAAGAACCGAGCGGACCUACCUGUCCCUCGUUCUUUAGACCCUGCAGGCAAAGAGGGUUGCAUGCAAUCUGGGAAAUACUGUGAAUUUCAUAAAGACAGCGGCCACCUAACAGAUAACUGCAGGGAGUUCUCGUCUUUCGUCGAACAGUUGAUCUCAAAGGGAGAACUUGGCAACUUCGUCAAGAACUCCCGAGGACGGGACAACUGCAAAUCUGACACAAAGGGGAAGCGUCCGCGCUCUCCUUCGCCAGACACUGACAACAGCGAGAACCGCCAGCGGAAGACCAUCAAUAUGAUAUUUGGUGGUGGAUCCGUUGGCCAGAACAGGGGAUAUUCCCGAAAGGUGUUGAUGUCACAGUCAACACCUCGAGACAACGGAAAGCGGUAACAACUUGGAGCUAUCUUAAAAAGGAUACAUUAAAGAGUAACAAAAAUGAUAUUGGAUGGUUCUAUUCCAUUUCCAUCUUGAGAAAAGACAUAAUUGUGAUACAAUGUUCUUCAGAAGAUCGAGAAUACAACUUGUACGUCCCUGUUCUUUUAUUAUUUGGUUAUUUACAGUCUAUGGUUUCUAGUCCUUGAUAGAUGUUAGAUAUUUAAUAUUAUUUAUCUAAUAUAGGUUUUAUCUAUUUUUGUGGAUUUCUUUGUCGUUUUCUUUACAUGUCGAUUUUUAUUUAUUCUUAUUCUAUUAAUAGGUUAAUAAAUUCUUGUUCUAUUUGAAGAAGAGAGUUUCCCACCUCUUCCUCAGGUACGUACCUUCUCCAAGUUAUAAGGGACCUGAUGGAGGUCAUUGAAUUCUUAGUCUACCCUCCUCCAUUAUAGUCUGGGGCAUAGAUGGGCAGGAAGGGGAAUCAUCUUUAAAUGGAGGUGAUUGCCACCACUAAGUCAGACUUUAUCACAUUCCGGUGAUGGAUAUACACUUCCGAUGUUAUAAAAUCAUAUAUAAAAACCAACAUUGUCUCUGAUACCAAAUGAUAGAAAUUAUCAUACUUUAUUAUCUAUGAUUUUUAUAUCAAGAAUGUAAUGUACUUACAGAUUCAAACGCAACUUGUGUUGAAUCCAUUACAACGGAAGUACAUACUUGAUCUCUGUAUGUUUCUUUUGCCUUUCUUCUGAGAUUUUCUCUUUUUUGGGAUUCCUGAGACUUGUCUCUAUUGGAUGUCUUCUUUUGGACUAGUAGAAUAGACGAUGUUUCUUUAACCCUCAUAUCUUAUUUAUAUAAAAGCAAUGGGUUAUUUACACAUUGAUCCAUAUAUUGAUACUCCCACUUGAUCUACUACACAUAUAUUAACCUUUACUCAACCAUAUAAACAAUCUUUAAUGCAUGCUUUGUUUAUUUUUCUUUUUAAGUCUACACUCGGUCUCAUAAAGACAACAAUAAUAAAUCACAGCGUCACUAUGUCUAAAUGUGCAACAUAGAAACUUCUGUGUAUCACAUUACGUUCGUCUUUAUUAACAUUAGCUUCAUGUGGUAGUGCAGCAAACUGAAUGAUACUUUAUAUAUGUAUCAUUUUAUUGUCAGUCCUCUGUAAUCUAAUCCUUAUGGUGAGCCCAUACUCACACUAGACAUUAUUUAUGAUUCUCAUGAACCUUAAUCAAUUUAUGUAUCAUUUUUCUUCUUUAUUGUGAAAUACAUCACACAAAAAAAAAAUGUAUACCUACUAUAUUAUUUUCUCAUCUUUAUUGUAAAAACCAUCACAAAAGAAAAUUUUAACUUUAUAAUUUCAUUUUUAUUGUGAAAAUCAUCACAAGAGUAAAAUUUAACUUUAUAAUCUCAUCCUUAUUAUGAAAUUCAUCACCGGAGACCUUGUUUAAUUUCUUAAUUCAUUCUCACAAAUUAAUCAGAGUUAAAUAAGAAAUUGACAAAUCAUUUAUUAAAAUACAAUUAUUGAAGUUUUGAUAAUCUAAUAAAUAAAUUAAAUCUGAGUAUAAAUAAUAAUAAUAAAUUAUUACAAGAUUGAAAAUAUAAAAUAUUACAUAUGGAAAUAAAAUUACUUUCACUUAAACGAUGACAUCCCAAGAACCCAACAAACUCAUUGCUAAAAUAUGUGAAUUUAGUAUGUUAGGUUGUCCUUUAGUGAGUGGAUCAGCUAGCAUAUCAUUAGUACUAAUAUGACCGACUAUGAUAUCAUUUUCUCUACCUUUUUCUUUGAUUUUUAGAUACUUCAAUUUUAUAAACUUUGUAGACGUGACACUUUUGUUGUUGUUAAUACUCAACACUGUCGAAAGGUUAUCACAGUAUAUUUGAAUUGGUCUUUCAACAAAAUUGAAAACUUUCAAUUGUUGAAUGAAACUUUUUAACCAACUUGAUUGAAUUGAAACUCCAAAGCAUGAAAUAAAUUCAGCUUCCAUGGUUGAUGUGGCUAUUAACUUUUGUUUUUCACUUCUCCAAGAUACAGCACCACCUGCCAUUUUGAAGAUAUAACCAGAGGUUGACUUCUUUUCAUCUUUACAUCCAGCAAAAUCUGAGUCUAAAUAUCCAACUAGAUUCAAGUUUUCAACUCGAGUAUAUGUUAAUCUAUAAUUUCGAGUACCUUUUAAAUAUCUCAAAACUUUCAUCGCAACAACCCAAUGAUCCAAGCCUGGAUUAACUUGAUAUCUUCCUAAGAGUCCAACCAUAAAUACAAUAUCUGGUCUAGUGCAUACCUGAGCAUACAUUAGACUUCCAUAAAGAAAUGCUUUCAUUUCAUUCUUCUGCAAGUUUGUUAGAGGACAUUGAGCUAAAUUCAAUUUAUCACCUUUUACAAUUGAAGCAACACUUGACUUACAUUCUGAGAGAUUAAACCUUUGUAAUAUACGAUCGAUGUAAGCUGAUUGAACAAGACCUAACAAAUGUCUAGAUCGAUUUCUGUUGAUCUCAAUACCAAGAACAAAAGAUGCUUCACCCAAAUCUUUCAUAUCAAAUUCACUUGAUAAGAAUUUCUUUGUUUCAAAUAAUAUACUUAAAUCGUUGCAAGCAAGUAAUAUAUCAUCAACGUAUAGAACAAGCAAAACAUAUUUGCUCCCUCUGACCUUGUGAUAUAUACAUGGAUCCAUGAGAUUUUCCGAAAAACCAUAUGAAGAAAUGAUUUCAUGGAAUUUAAUAUGUCAUUGUCUUGAUGCUUGUUUAAGUCCAUAUAUAGACUUUUUAAGUCUAUAAACAAGCUUGUCAUUUUCUUCAAAACCUUGUGGUUGCGUCAUAUAUAUUUCUUCAUUGAGAUUCCCAUUAAGAAAAGCGGUUUUAACAUCCAUUUGAUGUAGUUCUAGAUUGUAGUGAGCCACUAAAGCCAUAAUGAUUCUAAAAGAAUUCUUCGAGGAAACUGGUGAAAAUGUUUCAUGAUAUUCAAUUCUCUCUCUUUGAGUGAAUCCUUUGGCAACCAAUCUAGCCUUAAACCGCUAAAUCUUUCCUCUGGAAUCUCAUUUGGUUUUAAAAGCCCAUUUGCAACUCACAACUUUAACACCCUCAGGUAACUGAAUAAGUUCUCAUUCUUUAUUAUGGUACAUAGACUGCAUCUCAUCUUUCAUUUCAUCUUGCCACAAAUCACAUUGUGCACUUGCAACCGCUUGAUCAUAUGAGAUAGGGUCAACUGUACUACUACAACCAAUGUCAUAGUCGUAUUCUCCUAAAUAAACUUCAUAAUCAUUAGGGAUAGCUGAUCUUCUUUCUCGUGUAGACCUCCUUGGUUCAAUAACUAGUGGAUCUGCCGGUGUAAUAAUUGGUUCAUCAACUUGAGCAAUAACUAGUGUGUCAACGGAUGUCACUGAAGAUGUGGUUGGUGUAAUCGAAAAUAAGGGUAUAACUACUGUUGAUGGUUGAUGGUCCAAUGAAUUAGAAACCUCUGAAGUAUUAACAUCUGCUACAUCAUUUUUUAAGAAUUUUGCUGUUCGAGAAUCUACAAUUAUUGUUCCACCAUGAGGUCUAUAAAAACGAUAUCCCUUAGAAUGAUUCGGAUAUCCCACAAAAUAGCAUGUCACUGUUCUUGAAUAUAACUUGUUUUAUGUUGGAUUGUAUAAUUUCACCCCUACAGGAUAACCCCAAAUCUUCAAAUGAUUUAAACUAGGUUUUCUACCUGUCCAAAGUUCAAAAGGUGUAACUAGUACUGACUUACUUGGGACUCGAUUCAAAAUAUACAAUGCUGCUUGUAUUGCUUCACCCCACAAGAAUGUUGGUAAAUUUGCUCUACUAGUCAUGUUUCUCACCAUAUCCAUUAGGGUACGAUUUCUUCUUUCUGCCGCUCCAUUCUGCUCAGGAGUUCCUGACAUAGUGUAUUGCCCAAUUAUUCCAUAUUCUUCCAAAUAUUGUGCAAAAGGACCUUUAAGUUGUCCAACAUCUCCAUGUUUACCGUAAUAUUCUCCACCUCUAUCUAUCUGAUCUAACAAUCUUUAUAGAUUUUUCCAAUUGUUUCUCAACUUCUGUUUUGAAUACUUUAAAUUUCUCUAAAGAUUCAUAUUUUUCUUUGAUAAGAAACAAAUGGCCAUAUUUAGAAAAAUCAUCUAUAAAUGUUAUAAAAUAUAAGCAUCCACACAAAGUUUUAUGAUAUGGUCCACUAAUAUCCGUAUAAAUAAUCUCCAAAAGACUAGUGUUACGAGUAGCAGUCUUUUUCCCUUUCUUGGUCAUUUUCCUCUUAAGACAAUCAAUACAUUCUGCAUGGUCAUUAUCUAAAGAAGGAAGAAUGGUCGAUUUAACCAAUCUUUUAAUUCUAUCUUGUGAAAUAUGAUCUAACCUUUUAUGCCAUAAUAUAUAUGAUUUUUCUUUAUUUAAGGGUCUUUUGGAAACUGUAUUUUCCACAUUAUAAGCUAUAUAGAUCUUCAUAGAAUCAAGACAUAAUCUGUAUAGGUCAUAAGACAAAACACAAUUACCCAUAAUCUUUGAGUUAAGAAACAUUGAAACUGUAUUGUUCUUAAAUUCAAAAGAAAAACCAUGUUUGCUUAAUUUACUAACAGAAAUUAGAUUCCGUCUAAACGACGGAACAUACAAAGUGUCUUUCAAUGUUAAACCAAAUCCUAAAUCUAGAUUUAAAAUAACAUCGCCCACAAAUUCUACAUCAGUUUGUCCAUCAUUUCCUACGAACAAUCUUGAUUCAUCCUGAUUUGGCUUCCUUCUAUUUGUGAAUCCCUGUAUGGUGAAUGCAACAUGAUUAGUUGCUCCACUAUCCAACCACCAAGAACUAGAUGAAGAUUCUAUUAAAUUAGAUUCAUAAACUAAUGUCAAAGAAUCAAUACCUUUUUGUUCCUGUUUUAUGAGCCAAGAUUUAUACUUUAAGCAAUUCUUCUUUAUGUGUCCCGGUUUCUUACAGAAGAAACAUCCAUUAAUUGCUUUCUUGAGGGAGUUCUUGUUAGGACCAAAUUUGUCAGAUAAGUUGGUAUCCUUAGAAUCUUUAUUUUUCACAAACUUUUUGAACUUAAAUCCUUUCUUAUUUGAACUAUACAUUGUUAUCGAAAAUUUUUCGCCUUUUAUUUUAUCCCCCAUUUCUCCAAAUAAUUAUUUCUUUUAAUUCGAGCCCAGGCUCGCCGGUUCGAGCCCGGGCCCGAGCCUGACAAUUCUUAAAAUGAGCCGAGCCUGAGCCUGGCUCUAUAAGCAAAAGCUCGACUUGUUUGACACCUUAAUCUCAGAUAAAUAUUCCGAGAAUAUUUUGCCACUUAUCUUCAAAUUCUGAAGUUUUUUGGCGUAGACUCAUCACAUGCGAUCGAGAAUUAGAUGCAAAUUGCAUUUGAAAUGUUUCUCAUACCUCAUGUGUCGUAGCACAAUCAGAGACUUCCGACAGUACCGAGAGUGAAAUUGAUGAAAAUAGCCAUCCUAAAAUCAAUUGAUCUUGCUUGAUGGCAAGAGAGUUGUCCAAUUUUUCCCUACCGGCCAGAUAGUCCAUCAGCUCAUGACCUCGGAUAUUAGCCCCAAAUUGGGCUCUCCACGCGAAGUAGUUGCUGCGGUCUAGGGCUACAGUCUUGAAGUUCUUGGCGGUCACCUUUCCUGGUGCAUCGUUGCCAUAGAGCUUCUUUGCAGCCAGCGAAAUCCCUUUGUCAGCUUCGUCAAUCGACAUUGCGUAUCGGAAAAAAAUUGUGAUCGUCAACGAUUUUGGAGCGAUUCCGAUGAUCAGAGAUGUGCGGCUUCCCAAGAUCAGCUAAGCGAAAGAUACCAUAACAGUGAAUUGAAAUAUAUGAAUGGGGAAAGCCAAACUCGAUCCUUUUCAUAUUCAAUAGUAAGAUCUAUUUAUACAAUUUGUUACUCUAAUAUCCUAUUUGUUUGUUCUUUUGUAUUAUCGAUAUUUAUUGUCUAUUUUUUAUAAUGUUCUUGUCUAUUUUUAUAUUUACAGUCUAUGGUUUUUAGUCCUUGAUACUUGAUAGAUAUUUGAUAUCUAUUAUAUAUUUUAUCUAUUUUUGUGGUUUCUUUGUCGUUUUCUUUAUUGAUUUUUAUUCAUUCUUGUUCUAUUAAUAGGUUACCAAAUUCUUGUUCUAUUUGAAGAAGAGAGUUUCCCAUCUCUUGCUCGGGUACCUUCUCCAAGUUAUAAGGAACCAGAUGGAGGCCAUUGAAUUGUUAGUCUACCUUCCUCCAUUGGAGUCUGAGGCAUAGAUGGACCGAAAGUGGAAUCAUCUAGCUUUAGAUGGGGGAGGAGAGCACGACUUGUGCUAGAACUUCUUCAAGAAAUUUGACAAAUUUACGCUUCUCAACCUUACUCAUGGCUCUCGCGUCUUGAUGUUACAAGAGUUGCUCGUGGAGGGUACGUAAGGCUAUCCCCAACUGAAUCUUUGACUGGGGGAAAGAUGAUUCCGUCAGGGAAUUUGAUGUAAAAAUUCGAAAAACAAACAUAUAACAUUAUUAUUAGAGGAAACGUUUCAAAUAAAAUAUUUAAAAUAAUAUAUAUUUUGUGAAAUAUUAAUUUAGAACGUUCAUUUAUUUUAAAUUAAAUUAAACACAUCUUAAGGUAGAUCAUAUCAUUUAAUUAGUGGAAUGUUUUAGAGAUUAAUUUUAUACCAUUUAAAUGAAAUAAAAGAGUACUUAUACUAUUACAACAUUUGUAAUUAAUUAAUUAAUUAAUUCUAAAGGAUUUUUAAUAUAAAAAUUCUAAUUGGAGCAGCGGUCUUCCGCUUCUCUCUCCGGCUCGGACCCGGUUCAUCACCGUUGGGUGAUUUUUGUUUACCGUGGUCUUCCCCCAAUUAAGUUAGGAUUUAGGUCGUCUUCUUCAACAACAACUCUUCUAAUCGUCGUGCUAUCUUCCUGGAUAGUGGAGCAGUCUAUCAGCAUCAUAUCAUCGUCGGCUUCUUCAGAUUCGGCAUUGUCUUCAAUGUUGAUAGGAGGGAAAAGACGCAACACAUCUUCAUGAAAUUCCCAAGACGAGUCCUCCGGUAUCGCUCCAUUCCAAGCGACCAGCCAUUGAUUUCUCUGUCUCGAUCUCACCCUGAAAAAUGGUACGUUUAUUAGAAUAAAUAACUUCUACUGUUUUUUUAGUUGAGUUUAAUAUUCUCAAAUACAAUUAAGUUUAUACAAUGAGUUAGUUGUUAGAGGUUAAUUAGUUUUAGAUACUCUUUCUUAUAAAUUCUUUUGUAAGACUGUAUUCUUGGUUAAUGAAUUAAGUUCUUUCUUUUGAGAUUAUUGUUGAAUUGAGCUUGAAACAAGCACCAAAAUCUUGGUACUCAAGACUGAGUGCAUUCCUAAUAUUAAAUGAAUUCACUAACAGUCUGGCAGAUACAUUAUUGUUUCAAAAAAAAGAUAAUAUUUUAAUUUGAGUAAUUGUGUAUAUAUAUAGAUGACAUUAUAAUUUCAAGAAACAACAACAUUGAAAUUGAAGUUUUUAUUAAAAAUCUUUGUACUGAAUUUAGAUGUAGAGACCUAGGACUUUUGAAAUAUUUCUUUAGUAUAGAAAUUAGAUACAAUUUUGAUGGGUCACUUAACAUGACUCAACCUAGAACUUUUGGACUGGUCCAUGUUCCGAUCUUUAAAUAUAAAAAGGGUUUUGUAAAUUUGAUUUUGGUUGUAAACACGAAUCAUCUUGUAGGGUUUCAGCGGGAAAUGAGGGUUUCACUGGAGGCAAGGGUUUGCUGGAGGCAAUCGUUCGGGUAUGUUUCUAGUCUUCUUCUUUUGUGCAUGUCGCUCUAUUCUUCUUGUGUAUGUUGUCUUUGGUUGGGUAUCCUUAUUCAUUUGUAUUCUUAAUGGGUUUUGUAGUGGGUGUUCUGUCUGUUAAUGUGUUUGCAUGUCAGUGUUUUCUUUCAUGGUGUUUGUUUUCCUUCAUCCUUUGUGUUUGUUUUCCUCUAUCAGUCUGUUCCGUGUAAGUUUUCCAUAUUCAGUUUCUUUUUGAGAUGAUUGAAUAGAUAUCCUGUAACAUCUUUUGUGAAGAUGUCUUCCACGUUUUCUUUGGUGUUUACCCUUUCUAUUUCAAUCUCUUUUUGCAAAGCUUUGUCUCUGAUCGUGUGUGUAUCGAUUUCUAUGUGUUUUGUUCUUUGAUGUAAGACUGGGUUUGUUGCGAUUGCAGUUGCAGAGGAACUAUUUGUAUAGAGUUUUGGAGUUACUAUAUUUACAUGCAUUUCCUUUAAUAGUUGUUUUAGCCAUGUGAUUUCACAAGUUGUGUGUGCUAAGGGUCGGUACUCUUCCUCUGCUGACGAUCUUGCCACUGUAUGUUGUUUUUUGGUUUGCCAUGAAACUAGGUUAUCAUUCAAGAAGAUGGCAAAUCCUGAUGUGGAUCGUCUGGUUGUGGGGCAAGAGGCCCAGUCAGAGUCUGAAAAUACUUUAAUCCUUCAGGUUCUUGUGCCUGAUGAGAAGAAAAGUCCACUUCCUGGUGAGUUUUUAAUGUAUCUUAAUAUUUUGUUCACCUUAGUAGAGUCUUCAUUUGUUGGUUCUGACAUGUGUUGGCUUAGUUGGUUUACUACAUAUGUUAUAUCGGGUUUGGUUACAGUUAGGUAGACAAGUUUUCCAACUAUGCAUCUGUACUCAGUAGGAUCAUCAAGUAAUUUAAUUUCCUUGUUCUGUUUGUUUGGCGAUCUUGAUGGUGUAUAGAGUGGGUAUUCUCCUGGUUUAGCAUGUAGAUAGUUGUUUUGUUCAAGGAUUUCUAAUUCAUAUUUUCUUUGGCUAAUAAAAAUCCCAUGUUGUGUUGUUGUGAAUUCUAAUCCUAAGAAUUUUUUUAAUGUUCCUAGAUCUUUGAUGUUAAAAAAACUGGUUAAAUCUGUCUUAAGUUUGAUUAUUUCUUUUAAGUUAUUUCCUGUGAUUAAUAGAUCAUCUACAUAUGGUAGGAUGAAAAUUUUAUUUUUCCCAUUGAUCUUACCGAAGAGAGCAUAAUCCUCUCUUGUCUGUUUAAAACCUAAUUUGUUUAGUACUUGUUGUAGUUUGUUAAACCACAUUCUAGAUAUUUGUUUUAAGCUAUAUAGAGGUUUUGUUAAUUUGCAUGCUAGUUUGUGGUUAUCUGUUGGUUCUUUGUUGAUCCUUAGACCUUGGAGAAUGUCCAUAUGUAGACUUCUUCAUUUAAGUCUCCAUGUAAGAAGGUGGUGAGACAUGCCUGAUUACGGCAGUCACUCCCAGCAACGCCUUUCAACAAGGACUAGAGUUCCGUCGCUUUACCCCCGGAAGGCUCCCACGGUGCGGAACAAGUUCAUCGUCAAAUCGCGAGUUAACCCAUAAAUCGCAAUUGGACUACCAAAUCGCCGAUUUUAGGGACAAAUCGUUGAGUUAGGUCCCAGAUAGGCAGUAUGGUAGACUGCAUAUCUCGCCCCUUGAAACUCGACUAGUUUACCCUAAUAGGCAAUUUUCAUACCUGAAUCGUCGAUUUACGACCGUUACUCGCCGCCAGCCAACGCCAUAAAUGCACCCAUAUAUGGCAAUAGGCGCGAUGUCCGCCUUUGAUCGCGCCCUCCGAGACCAUAUAAAAAGGGUCCCAAGGGGACACUCAAAGGCACAACACAAGUUCCACUCUCACCAGAGCACCACUAAGAGAAUCGCCGAUUCCCACACCAGAAUCGCCGAUUCUCUCCUUUCAGGUAUUUGACGUAGAGCGUGUGUCGUGGACUCCAGAGCCUCCGCGAGCCCUGGUAGCAGAUUCUGUGCUUCAUCAAUCCUUCAGUGGAUGCUAGGGAGAUAAGUGUUCUUAGUGUGGUCAUUCUAGAAACUGGUGCAAAAGUUUAUGUGCAGUCUAUCCCCUCUGUUUAGUUAUAGCCCUUGGCAACCAAUCUAGCUUUGAAUUUGUCUAGGCUUCCAUCAGCCUUAAGUUUUGUCUUAAAAACCCAUUUGCAAUCUAUGAUUUUUGUCUCUCUUGGUACUUCAGUGAUUCUCCAAGUGUUGUUUUGUUUUAGUGCAUUUAUUUCAUUGCUUCUUGCCAGUGUGAUACUUGGCUUGCUUUUUGUAAUUUUUAGGUUCUAUGUGUUCUGAAAUUUUAAUUAGAAAUGCUCUGUGUUUUUCCGAAAAUUUGUUGUAGUUGAUGUGGUUGCUUAUUGGAUAUUUUGUUGUGUUGUAACAAACGUAGUCAUCCAAUUUUGUGGGUCUCUUUCUCUCUCUUGUGGGUCUUUCAGGCUUUUCUCUCCUAUUGUUUCAUCUUCUACAUGGUUGUUUGAGUUUUCAGAGUUUUGGUUGUCAUGAUUUUGUUGAAUUGCUUGGUCUUGGAUUUGUGUUCUCAUUGUUGAACUUGAUUUCAGUAUCUAUAAGGAGGAUCCCAUUUUCCUUUUCUUCUAUGUUUUUGAAAGGGAAGAUAUUUUCAUGGAAUAUUACAUCUCGGUUGAUAAUUAUUUCAUUGUUUUUAAUAUCGAGAAUCUUGUAUCCUUUUGUUAAUGUAGAAUACCCUAGAAAUACCCCUUUUGUGGCUCUGGCCUCAAAUUUAUUUGUCGGUUUAUUGAUUUUUGAGUAGCAAAGACAUCCAAAUUUUUUGAGACUUUCAUAUGAUGGUUCUUUUUGGAAGAGUCUGAAAUAAGGGGUUUCAUUAUUGAUGGUUGGUGAGAACAUUCUAUUUAUGAGAUAGCAAGCAGUUUGGAUGCAUUCUCCCCAGUAAGUUGUUGGAACUUCAGAUUGGAAUAUUUAGCAUCUAGUUAUGUCUAGGAUGUGUUUGUGUUUUCUUUCUACUAUUGAGUUUUGUUAUGGGGUGUAGAGGCAAGUGAGUUGGUGUUUUAUUCCAAAGCCCUAUAGAAAGGUUUGGAGGUUUACGUUAAGGAAUUCAGUACCAUUAUCGGUUCUGAUUGUUUUCACAGAAGUGUCAAAUUGGUUGAUUGCUUUUGUGAUGAAAUGUUUUAGUUUUCCUGGUGUUUCCCCUUUAUUGUGUAAUAGUAUUAUCCAGGUGGCUCUACUAAAGUCAUCCACUAUGGUGAUGAAGUAGUGGUGACCAUUGUAUGUUGGUGUUCUGCAUCUUCCCCACAAGUCAAUAUGUAGUAAUUCAAAAAAAUUCGUAGUUUUGGAAGUACUUGUAGAAAAUGAUAAUCUAAUAAAUUUUGCAGUUGGACAUUCAUUACAUAAAAUAUUUUUAAACAUAGGAAUAGAUGGAUUGUUUUUCCUAAUUAGAUUGUAUCUCAAAAUUAAAGAAUGUCCUAGCCUUCUAUGCCACAGCUCUGCAUUUUUUUGAGCUGAAUUUACCCAUACUUGUCCUUCUUUCGUUUCUUCAGAUGAUAGGAUGUAGAGUCCUUUCCUUUUAACCAUAGAAAUCGAAUUCAUCUUCGAAUCCUGUAUUAGACAGUGGUUAUUAUAGAAAACGAAAAAGCAGUUAAUUGAAUUUGUCAGCUUUGUGACAGAGAUCAAAUUAACAUUGAAAUUUGAAAUUUUUAACAUUGGAUCUAGUGUUAAUUUUUCAUUCAGGGUGAAUGUUCCAACCUCGUGCAUAAUUGCUAUGUGAGAGUUUGGCAUAUGGACCUUAAUAGGAUGGUUAAGUAUCCUUAUGUUGGAUAGCUGGAUUACCGGACCACACAUGUGGUAUGUGGCUCCACUAUCUAUCACCCAUUCAUUUUGUCUAUUCACUGUUGAAAUGAAGCAGUAAGAUUGUGUACCUGAUUUUUCUAUGUCAUGGGUUGUAGAUCUUCCCACGUUUGCAGAGUGUUUAGGUUUGUUUUGUCAUUGUAGCAUGGACAUGAGUUGCUCAAUGGUGUAGCUUGGUUGUCCUUCUGAAUAAUUGACUCUAUUUCUUGUGGGGUUUCAUGGUGAUCUUCUUGGUUGUAGUUAUCUUGGUAAUUGUAGUCUUCCCAGUUUUGUUGUUCUUGUGGCUCUUCUGAAUCCUCAGUGUAUGUGUUGUUUGCCCUGUAGUUUGCCUAUUGUAAUUCCUGCCAUACUGGUUUUUGUUUUCCCUUCUUGGGUAGCUAUUUGUUGGAUUGUAGGGUCUGUUAGGUCUCCUGAAAUUUUGUGAGUUAUUUCCAUUGUUGUAUGUUUGCCUUUCAGGGUAUCCAUGUACUUGGUAGCAAUUGUCAACAGUGUGCCCUGAUCUUUUGCAAUGUGUACAGAAGGGCCUUUCUCUUAUCUCUGGUUUUGAUGGUUUGUAAGGGUCAUUUGCCAGUAAGGUUGUUGUUACCUCAGUUGUGGGUACUGUGUGAUUUCUUUGCUGUUAUUCUUGUUUGAUUAUAGGAUAUAAUUCACCAAGUUUUGGGGUCGAUUUCUGAGCCAUUAGGACACCUCUAAUUGUUGUGUAGGUUUCAUUCAGUCCCAUUAAGAAUUUUACUGAUCUUGCAAAUUCAUCAGGGGGGUUAAUGUCUUCUUUGUUGGUGUCAUAUGUGCUCUAGAUGAGUUUAGUCAGUUUGGUGUAGUAUGUGCAUACUGAGUCUUGUCCUUGGUAGAGUGUGUAUGUUUGUACUAGGACAUCAUAAAGCAUUGCACCAUUUGAUUGGUUGUAUCUGAUUGCCAAUUCAUCCCAUAAUAUCCAUGGUUUGCUAGCUGUGAGAAAAGAUGGUUGUAGCUCUGGUGUGAUGGAGCUUAGUAAUCAAGAAUGUAUCAUAGUGGUGCAGGCCUUCCAUUUUCUAUGUUCCUUUGAAUAUGUUUCUUGGUCUGGUUCUGGUAUGACUCCAAGUAGGAACCCUAAUUUUGAUCUACCUUCUACUGCCAUUUCAAAAUGCUUUUUCCAUACUGGAUAGUUAUUACCAUCCAGUUUAAUAGUUACCAUAAAAUGUGAAGAGAAUUCUGAACUGUAGAUGUCAUCCUCUUUUGUUUUUGUGCUUUGUAUGUUUUGAUCAUCAUAUUCAGACAUUUUCUGCAGAUUCAUAAUUAGCUAAUUACGUGGAGUUUGUAGAAGGCGAAAAUUCUAAGUAGCAAAUGUGAAUGUGGAAGUUAAUACUAAGGAGUGUGUUGACCACUUGAUGGUCGAGGAAGAUGUUGAUCCUCCUCCUGAUCCUACUGAAGAUGAGGCUACAAUGAUUCGUAGGGCUACUAGAAAGAGGAACAGGGAGGAAGGAGAAGUGUUCCACGAUCCUUUCACAGUGUGGAUGGAUGACUGCUGGAGGAAAGGUAUUUCCCCUGACCUUAAUAAUGCACCUAGGUAUCGUGAUUAUAAAUGGGAAAAUGAUGAUGAGCUUCCACCUUGAGAUGGUCGUUUUGAUGAAAUGUUUAAUUCAGAUACAGAAGUUAAUGGAGGUAUCUAUGGAUUUAGUGAAGAUUCUGAGGUUGAUCGUCUCUAUGAUCGUGAGAUGUUGGGAGUGAGUGUGGACAUUGUAAUUGUUAUAAGUGAUGAUGAUGAUGAUGCUGAGGAUAGUGAUGCUUGGUAAUCCUGAUUAUAUGGAGUUGAUCUUCGACACUUGAAAGAACUGAAGAAAGAGAAUAAGGGUAAUGUAGAGCCAGACUAUGAGAAGUGGCUCAAGAUGAUACUUAAGAAGAAAUCGAAGUGAGGAUUUUCCUCAUCUUUUUGAAGUAAAGAAAAAAAACUUUAUAUAUUUUGUUUUCUCUUUGAGAAUAAAUACUUUCCCUUUUUUUUAUUAACCUAUUACUUGGGUUUGUUUUACUAUGGGGAUCUCAAUCGCUCUGAUACCAUGUUAAGUUUUAAUGUGUAUGAAAUAUAAUCCAAGUAUGGUUUAAUGAUUAAUCCAGAGUAAAGCAAAAUAGUGUUGAUGCAGCGGAUAAUAUUGAUUGUUUAAUUUAUCUAAUGAGUAUGAUCAAGAUGUGUUGCAGGUAGAUAAUGUUUGACAGGGAUGAUAUAUAUAUGAUUUGUCCAAGUAGAAGCGGAGAUAUGUGUAUGCAAUAGAUAUCAGGUAUGAUAUAUAUAUGAAAUGUAAGCAGAUGAUUUAGCAAUACUGAGAUCGUUUGGAGAGCGAGGAGAUGACGAUGUAGGAGAGUCGAUGAUUGAGUGUAGAGCAGAUCGGAGUGAAGUUGAUGAUGACUUUGAUCCACAGAUGAUGAUUCCCAAAGGGAGUAUGAUUUUGAAACUUAGUAUCACAAACUGUAAAACAAUGUUAGGUUUGAGUUUGAUCUAUAUAGAUGGUUUAAAUGUUUGAUUCCAGCUUACAACGGUCAUAAGCUCAAGGUUCAACUGGCGCUUGUUGUCCUGUUGCUGAAGGCAAAGGUGACAUCAAGUGAUGGUUGGACCUUCCUAAGAUUUCUAUCAUAUUAAAGGUUUAGGUAUUAAAUUGAUCAUGUAAGGGUUUAGAUUGUAAAUUGGUUAAUGAGGGUUCAUAUUGUAAAUGUUGUAAUUAUGGAUUUAUGUAAUAAUUUUAUAGAAACCCAGUUAUCAAAAAUAUGUCAAAACAUAUUGAGAGUGACAUCCAUUACAUUAGAGAAUUAAUUACAAAUAGUUUAAUAGUAGGAAAAUCUCCAUCCCUGUUCCGGACUGAAAUCCCCGUCCAUUUCCCUGCCCCGGAUAAUAUUCGUACCGUGGUAAAUUAUAUUUAUACCUUAUAUAAUAUCUUAUAUAGUAUAAUUUAUAUAAAUAACCCUAUAUAAUAUAUUAAAUGCAUAGGUUUAUAUUCAAAAUGUAUCCAUAAAAAAUUUAUAUUUAACCCUAAAUCCCUAAAAAUUUAAUUUUUAACUAUUUGGAUGAAUUGUGAUUUAGAGAUAAUAAAUAUAAAUUUAGAAACUUCUUUUUUAAUUAAUGAAUCCUCGAUUAAUUUUUCACGAUAUUUUUCUUUAAAUUUUUUUUCAUAUCGAUUUUUAAUUAUAUACUAACACCACAAUUUUAGAUUUAAUUUUUAGAAUUAUUCUUUUUUUAUUCUUUAGCUGGUUAGUUGCAAUUUUCAGUUUGAAAAUAACCAUUUUAGAAUAGAAAUGAGCAUUUCUCUCUCUCUCACCCAUUUUUUUCUUUCAAAACAACUAUAUAAUCAUCGAUAGAUAUCAAUCAAUCUAUUGAAAGGAGAAAGAAGACGUGAGAUCUCGAUAGUUCUUUCGAAUUUUGAUUUUUCUUAGGUCAAGAAUGGUUCACGUAACCGAGAUGGAGGAAAACAAUUUAAGUGAGGUUGAUUGCUUUUCUUCUCAAAAUAAUUCGACCCAAGCAACCAAUUUUUUUCCACAGGUUUAUUUAUCAUUGUUUUAGAUUCUAAACAUUACAUUUGUUCUAUUUCCUUCUUAUUCUUUUUUCUUUUGUAUAUGACAAUUCUCUCAUUUCAUUUUAUAUUUUUAUUUAUCAGGGAUCAUCAACUCCAUUGUCUCAAAAUAAUUCGACCCAAAUAAUGAAUUCUUCUGGGCAGGUUUAUUUAUCAUUGUUUUAGAUUCUAAACAUUACAUUUAUUCUAUUUCCUUCUUAUUCUUUUUUUCUUUUGUAUAUGACAAUUCUCUCAUUUGAUUUUAUAUUUGUAUUUAUCAGAGAUCAUUAAGACCCCAAAAUAUACCUAGUAUUGAGCGUAACCGAAAUUCCCAUAGCCAUAGGCGUCGUUCCACACAAAAUCAUCAAUCUCGAAGACGUCAGCAAGUUGAUUGGGUUUCUUCAUUAAAGCAGUCGAUUGUUAUUCCUCCUUACCCUAUAAACCAAGCUAUUUAUCCUCCAUUUAAUGUUGUUCCUGCUCCCCUUCCGAUGGAAAUGAAUCAAUAUCCUUACCCAACAAAUUUUACUACUAGACAACCAUUCGUGAUGAAUUCUUGGCACGAUUGCAGAUAUCUACCAUUUCCUCGUCAUCAACCUUUUGGGUUUAAUCCUCUCAGUAACUUUUACAGACCACAAGAGCAUAACUCUAGUUGGACGUCAAUAAAUCCACAGAUACCUGGUAGACAUUUCAAUCAGGCACACCAACCUUAUCCAUUUUAUCCCUCAUGUAAUCCAUUCCAAAUGCGAAUUAUGAAUCAAAGACCUUAUUUUAUGAAUAUGCAAGCACCGGCAUUUAUACCAACUCAUGGAGUGUAUGGAAAUGAUUACAACCAGGGUACCACCCACUUCUUCUGAUUAUUUCUACCAAUUGCUAAUUUUAUCAUUCAUCAUUCAUAUAUAUUUAGGUAAUGCAGUUCAUUAUUCUGCACCAUUUGAAUCGUCGAAUCUUAAUGAUCUUCAAGAGUUGAAGACGAGUAUACGUGUUCAAAUUGAAUAUUACUUUGGGUAUAUAUCAUUUCAUAUAUGAGAUUUUUUUUUUUAAGUAUAUAUGUUUUUGUAACGUUUUCAUUGUAUUUUUAUAGAGAUACCAACUAUCCAACUGAUGAUCAUCUACACAAAAAAAUGGAUAAAGAAGGGUGGGUGGACAUAUCUGAAAUCGCACAAUUUAGAAUGGUGUGUUCAAAAUAUUUAUCGUUCUAGGAAGUUACAUAUUCUCAAUAUUUCCAACUAACAACUAUAUAUGCUUCAAUUGUGAUGUUACAGAUAAGAAGAAAAAAUGUUGAUUUAUCCCUUAUUUUAGAAUCUUUGAAAUCGUCAAAAAUGAUCGAAAUAAAGGUAAUUAUAAUACAUGUAAAAAUUAAAUUUCACUAUGACUAAUUAAGUGCUUGAUACAAUUUUAUUUAUCGAUCAUAAAGAGUAUAAUUUUUUAAAUGGUGUUGUAUAUUUAACAUUUAUGUUGUUUUUUGUUUAUAGGGAAAUAAGAUAAGAAAAAUCAUUCAUGAAAAAAUGCUUCCAUUACCUGAAACGACGACCGAUACAAGUCAAUGAUAAAGAGCUUAUCGGCCUCAAGAAGUUUUAACUUUAUUUUUAAUUUGAACCUUAUUAUCUGAUUUUUACAACAUUUAGUUAGCCAUUAAUAAUUGGUUAAGUGACAUUUCCACAGUUUGAUUUUUGGCUACAUUUCGUUAGCCAUUUUUUGUUUGAUUGUCAUUUCGUCAUUUUUAUGUUCGACCAGAUUUCGUUAACCAUUUUUUAGUUGUGUGUCUUUUUGCUGUUUGAUUUUUGGCUAUAUUUUGCUAGCCAUGUUUGAGUGAGCCUCAUUUUGGCUGUUUGUACUUUAUAGACUUCAUUUUAACAUUCUAAAUUGAAGAAUUGAAUUUUUUUUGUUAAUUAAUUUGAGGUUAUCAACUUUGAUACUUUUCUUUUAUCCAUGUAUUUUGGUUAAUAGCAAGAACCUAGUGAAGCUCAAAUAAAAAUUGCAAACGAUCAAGUGAAUGGAAAUAACAAAAUAAAUAAAUGUCAAAUACCACAAGAAAUACCAUAAGAACUGCAAAGCAAGGCAUAUUUGAAGGUGUUUCGAUCUGCAUCUUUCCUGUGACGGAAAGGAUAUACAAUGUGAGAAUUGAUUGAAACGCAACUUGUGUUGAAAUAUACUUACAGAUUCAAACGCAACUUGUGUUGAAUCCAUUACAACGGAAGUACAGAUAGACGAUAUCUAUUUGUUUGUUCUUUUGUAUUAUCGAUAUUUAUUGUCUAUUUUUUAUAAUGUUCUUGUCUAUUUUUAUAUUUACAGUCUAUGGUUUUUAGUCCUUGAUACUUGAUAGAUAUUUGAUAUCUAUUAUAUAUUUUAUCUAUUUUUGUGGUUUCUUUGUCGUUUUCUUUAUUGAUUUUUAUUCAUUCUUGUUCUAUUAAUAGGUUACCAAAUUCUUGUUCUAUUUGAAGAAGAGAGUUUCCCAUCUCUUACUCGGGUACCUUCUCCAAGUUAUAAGGAACCAGAUGGUGGCCAUUGAAUUGUUAGUCUACCUUCCUCCAUUGGAAUCUGAGGCAUAGAUGGACCGAAAGGGGAAUCAUCUAGCUUUAGAAGGGGGAGGAGAGCACGACUUGUGCUAGAAUUCUUCAAGAAAUUUGACAAAUUUACGCUUCUCAACCUUACUCAUGGCUCUCGCGUCUUGAUGUUUCAAGAGUUGCUCGUGGAGGGUACGUAAGGCUAUCCCCAACUGAAUCUUUGACUGGGGGAGAGAUGAUUCCGUCAGGGAAUUAAUGUAAAAAUUCGAAAAACAAACAGAUAACAUUAUUAUUAGAGGAAACGUUUCAAAUAAAAUAUUUAAAAUGAUAUAUUUUGUGAAAUAUUAAUUUAGAACGUUUAUUUAUUUUAAAUUAAAUGAAACACAUCUUAAGGUAGAUCAUAUCUCGAGGUUGUAUAUCUCAAUUUACUCCAAAUAAAUAUGUUAGAUUAAUAUCUCAU
This 42649-nucleotide long non-coding RNA is filed under the name Zostera marina. Its description in RNAcentral is "long non-coding RNA (ZMAR_LNC001659)". Lineage: Eukaryota; Viridiplantae; Streptophyta; Magnoliopsida; Alismatales; Zosteraceae. The record is from RNAcentral.